AAUGAAGUUUUCUUAUAAGGCUGUGGCUUCAAAUAAACCCAAUCACCCAUUGAAAAUUCUCUUUCAGUGAUUCUCUUAUUUGCUUGUUGCUUCAUCUUAUUUUGAGCCACUUGCAAAUUUUCCUUAGGGAUCUUAAUGAGUUGCUGUCUCUCUUUUAAAAGGUAUCCAAUAGAUACUACUAAUGGAAACCCAUGUGGAAUUACAGGCAUAAAUCAUAGAGAAUAACCAUAAAGUGCGUCAAAAGAUGGCACCAUGAUAGGAAG
This 263-nucleotide unclassified non-coding RNA is filed under the name Hevea brasiliensis (rubber tree). The record is from RNAcentral. Lineage: Eukaryota; Viridiplantae; Streptophyta; Magnoliopsida; Malpighiales; Euphorbiaceae.